ACGCUCGACACCUACGGGGGCAGCAGUGGGGAAUAUUGCACAAUGGGGGAAACCCUGAUGCAGCGACGCCGCGUGGAGGAAGAAGGUCUUCGGAUUGUAAACUCCUGUUGUUGGGGAAAAAGAGGAUGGUACCCAACAAGGAAGUGACGGCUAACUACGUGCCUAGCAGCCGCGGUAAUCUGAGGCGGGCUGGCAAGGC
This 199-nucleotide ribosomal RNA is filed under the name uncultured bacterium. Its description in RNAcentral is "partial 16S ribosomal RNA". It matches the Rfam family "Bacterial small subunit ribosomal RNA", at positions 328 to 539 of the family's 1533-position model. The record is from RNAcentral.